GUAAAACGGAAGUCUAGGGCUAAAGACGACACAGCAGCUCUCAGGGAGAAGCCAACUUCAGCUCAACAAGAAGAUUAAGAAAUUCUACAGUUUUACUUUCCUUUAUUUUUAAUAUUGAAAUCACAUUUUUCAGAAUUUCUUUUUGGUAUAUUGGAGAUUUUUUGUUUUUUUCAAAUGUCAGGAAAUACAACAAUUAUUUUUAUCCAGCCUUCGGUGACUGAAGGACCAGUUUCUUCUGAAGGAACUCCACUUCUUCCUGGCUCCACACCUGAGUCUAAAGACUGCUCCUGUGCAGACUGCUGUGUGGUCUGCUGUGGCUGUGUGAGCCUCAUCGUUCUGAGCAUCCUGGAGAUCUUGUGUUGUCCCUUCACUUUCCUCUGUUCACUCUGUGAUAAUCACUAGGGUCAGUCUACCGGCCCCUCAAGGAGAAUGCAUGUUUUAAGGGAAAAGGAAGAGACAAAACAGUAUUGAGGACAUACUCCAAUACUUGAAGAAGGCAGAUACAAGGGCAGAGGAGAGGGAAGCUGAGGCAAAUGCGAGAGCAGAGGAGCGGGAUGACCGGUUGCUGCAGCAGUCCAACACUGUGCUGAUGGGGCUGAUGGAAAAUGACACACACACAGUUUCACUCCACAUAAUGUACCUAUCUGGAACAACAGAUGUAUUCUUUCCAAAAGAAAAUCUAUCUAUUAUGAGGACUGGGUGAGAAAGGGGAUUUGGUCCAUUUCACAUUUAACAGAUUCUAAAGGGAACCUUAUGAAGAAAUAUAAUUUACAAUGCUCAAAACAGCAAUAUCAUACAGUCAUCAAAGCUCUCCCAUUAGAAUUGUUAAAUCUAGUUGUGGCAUGUUGAGAUAUGAUAAAAAUUACACCAAAUUCCCUUUACUCACCAUAGAUGAAUUUGAAUUUAAAGACAAAAACUGCUCAAAUAAAAUAAUAAGGAACAUUAUUACUACCAAAUUGUGUCCUCUCCCAUUAAAAAGAAUCCAUGUACUUAAAGAGUUUCCAGUUAAUAUCAUUGAAAAUUUUUAAAAAUUAGAACAAAUUAUUUCUCAUUUCCAAUCUCCCCUAAAGCCAAAGAAACUCACUUUAAAAUUUUAAAUGAUAUUUACCCCUGUACAAUUCUUGAAAAAAACAUUUUAAUAUGGAGACCAAUAACUGCACCUUUUGUAACAGUGAAAUAGAAACUGUUGAACAUUUGUUCUUUUAUUGGAGCCGUAUUAGAACGUUUUGGGACUCAUUCCAAAUGUGGAUGGUGGAAUAUGACACAGAUUUACCAAAUGUAACUUAUAAAGAUAUAAAAUACAGAAUAAUUUUGGAAGACAACAAAAAACUGUUCUAUAAUUCUUGUUUAUUACUAGCCAAACAAUAAAACCCUUGUUCAAAAUAUAUCGUCAUGAUUUUUUGCAAUUUAAUCCUCACGUCACAUUAAAGGUUGUAUGGAGGAUUUUUUUUUGUUUCAAAUUGUCAAUGAUAGCAUUAUAGAGGUGCAGUAGCCUUGUAAUUAUGAUGACCAAAAAAGAGAGAAUAAAAAUUCAUCAACUCUGGACGUGGUGGGGCUAAACAUUUGCCAAUAGAUAACGACACUGCCUCGUUAUCUGUGAGCUGACAGGCUGUCAAUCAAACUCCCUACGUUUCUAGCGUAACUGACUUGCCUGCGCGCCGCCGUACGUGGUUUACGUACGCCUGUCACGCAGUCCACAGACGCAAGCCGCACAGACGCUGUUUACUCCACCAACGCAACAGUUCUUAGCGGCUUUUUUUUACCUAUAUCUUCCUCGCAGUUCGCACAAAGUUUGUUGCAAUGGCGACAAGAAUCCAGGAGCAGUUCGCCGCAAAAGAAAGUCCGUUUUUGAGGUCGCUGAAAGAAGAAGACAAGGGGAAAAGCAGCGAAGCCAAACUAAGGUGAUUCUUGAAGAUUCAUUCCAGCGAUGGCGCGACUGAAGCAAACGCAGGGUCUAAAGACUGACGCACUGGUCGCCAAAUUACUCCUGGACAGGUCACUUCUGCUUAUUAUGAAAACGUACUUUAUUUCCAAGAGCUAGACAAACAUUUUUCAGGACACGAAAGCGAUAUCCUAUGUCUGAAAACGUAAUUUUCAAGGCAAAGAAAGAGUCCGCUUGCUGCUGCGUGUUGUAGCUCGUUCAUUCGCACGGAAUCUCCGCACAACCUUCUCUGCACCCCUUUCCUGCUCCUGUCCCCGCUGCCCGAUCCGCUCUUCUCCCUGCUCCUCACUUCUCGUCCGCGAACGAAAUGUCCGCACACCCGCUCCCCCCGCUCCUCACUUCUCCGCUCUUGCCUAACCAACACUGUAGUUAGUUGUUUACAAGUCAUGUGCAGCACCGGCUGUAAACAAACCUGUUUCUGGCGUAAGGAGGAGGAGGGAGGAGGCGUUUCUACGUAGGAGCUCGCAUGCGCAACAUUUGAAAAAGGACAAACAGUCGCUGGAUUUCUCGUUCCUUGGAAAAUCCUCUAUACAACCUUUAAAUCUAAACAAGCCAUUAUAAUAAAUGAUUUCAUGCAGUCAGAUGCAUAAGACCUCUUGCAUUGUACUUUCUUGUAUUAACAUUGCAUUGUGUGUGUUUAUUUUAUUGUUUUAUUGGAGGCCUUGCAGCGUAGGCAUUCCAGGCAUUGCUCUGUCUGGAAUGUUCCACAGUGUGACAUUAAAGAGCUCUGCUUUACAUUUAUUCAAUUACACAUGGUUUUAUUGCUCAAAAAUCCCUAGAAAAACAGACAUUCACUGUGAGUGGGGUCGCCUCUCCACAGACCUGACCUGUAACUUGGUCUGAUUUGGUCUCCAUGGAGAUAGAAAAGUUUAAUGCCACACUGUGGAACAUUCCAGACAAAGCAAUAACAUCAACAUGGAGGUCUGCUCUUUAUUUUAUUUUAUUUAAUUUUAUUUUCUUCUUUUACUCUAUUGCCCUUCUUGUUCGUUUCUCCUCUUGAGCUCACAAAUUCAACAUGUUUUAUUAACACACAUAUAAACACACACUCAUGGUUUACUUUUAUUUGAUUAUUAUUCUGUUUAUUGAAUUGUUUCGUCUUGUCUGCAGACUGUCCUGUUACAUGAGUCAGUAUGUCCUGUUAUUCGUGUUUUGAAUCUAUCAUCUGUAUGUAUGCUUUAAAUAUAUAUACCUAGGCCCAAAUCCAGGUUAAUAAAAUGUGAACCAAG
Boleophthalmus pectinirostris (great blue-spotted mudskipper) is the source of this 3168-nucleotide long non-coding RNA. RefSeq lists it as uncharacterized. The transcript is spliced from 4 exons. Lineage: Eukaryota; Metazoa; Chordata; Actinopteri; Gobiiformes; Gobiidae. The record is from RefSeq and is a predicted model, not a curated record.